Gorilla gorilla gorilla (western lowland gorilla) is the source of this 150-nucleotide long non-coding RNA. RefSeq lists it as uncharacterized. The record is from RefSeq and is a predicted model, not a curated record. NCBI's taxonomy places the organism in Eukaryota, Metazoa, Chordata, Mammalia, Primates, Hominidae. The transcript is spliced from 3 exons.
AAGUCCUUGAGUCUCUCAAGAGAUGCCUUAACACCAGGAUAGAUGUUACAAGAUUAGUCUGCAGUGAAGCUAUGGCAAUGAUUAUGAAAACAGGAGUUGCCAGUCACAAACCUGAUGCGUGGCAGCAACCAUCUUAUAGCCGUGGGGCAG